Molecule: small nucleolar RNA, 134 nt
Organism: Trichechus manatus latirostris (Florida manatee)
Lineage: Eukaryota; Metazoa; Chordata; Mammalia; Sirenia; Trichechidae
Product: small nucleolar RNA SNORA13
Exons: 1
Source: RefSeq, a predicted model, not a curated record
AGCCUUUGUGUUGCCCAUUCACUUUUGGAAACUAGCAGAUGUGAUAUCAAAAAAGCAUAAAUUAAACUCUUUGCCGCCAUUUUCUGCCCUAGAAAUUUGGUAUCUUUGGUGUAGGAGAUGCAUAAGGUAUAGUU